Molecule: long non-coding RNA, 587 nt
Filed under: Homo sapiens (human)
Lineage: Eukaryota; Metazoa; Chordata; Mammalia; Primates; Hominidae
Description: HSALNT0364439
Source: RNAcentral
CCUUCCGUGAUAUUCCCAAGUAGGUCAACUGCCCAUGAUACUCUCUAGUAGCACCAAACACACCUUUCUUUGCUAAUAAGUUGCAAUUAUACAUUCAUUUGUGUGACUAAUUGAGUGGCACCCAACUAGAUUCUAAGUUCCCUGAAGGCAGGGGCCAGGACUAUUGGUGCUCACCAUUGAGUCCUGGUUGUCUAACACAAAGACAGCAAACUUGUUCUGUGAAGGGCUAAAUAGUAAAUAUUUCGGGCUUUGUGGGCCAUAUUGUCUCUGUUGCUACUAUUCAACUAUGCUAUUUUAGUACAGAACAGCCACAGACAAUACAUAAAUGAAUGAGUAUGGCUAUGUUCCAAGAAAACUUAAUUUAUGAAAACAGGUGGUGGGCUGGAUUUGGCUCAUGAGCUAGAGUUUGCCAAACCCUGGUGUAGCGUAAUUCCAGCACUUAGUUUGUGAUCAAAAAAAUGUUGUUGAACAGUGAGCACUUGGCAAAUAUGGAUUGAGCAGUGGCAGUAAAAUGUGCGAACUGUGCAAUCCUGUUCUUAUUAUGGCACAGCAGCCUAGAUGUACACGUACAGACAGUUUUCAACUAA